AGGACGAACGCUGGCGGCGUGCUUAACACAUGCAAGUCGAGCGGAAAGGCCCUUCGGGGUACUCGAGCGGCGAACGGGUGAGUAACACGUGAGCAACCUGCCCCUGGCUCUGGGAUAGCCUCCGGAAACGGGGAUUAAUACCGGACAUGACCUGCUGCCGCAUGGUGGCGGGUGGAAAGUUUUCGGCCAGGGUGGGGCUCGCGGCCUAUCAGCUUGUUGGGGGGUGACGGCCCACCAAGGCGACGACGGGUA
RNAcentral lists this ribosomal RNA (252 nucleotides) under uncultured bacterium. RNAcentral's name for it is "partial small subunit ribosomal RNA". It matches the Rfam family "Bacterial small subunit ribosomal RNA", at positions 26 to 285 of the family's 1533-position model. The record is from RNAcentral.